AUUACUGAGCGUGAAGCCACGCAGGGCGCCUGUCCUGCGCGGCUGACCCUCCACCCGUGUGAACUGAUUAUGUUGCUUUGGCGGGCCGGGCUCGACCUACCGGCUCCGGCUGGGGAGUGCCCGCCAGAGAAGCCCCAACUCAUGUAGUUAGUGCAGUCUGAGAAAAACUUAAUAAGUAAAACUUUCAACAACGGAUCUCUUGGCUCUGGCAUCGAUGAAGAACGCAGCGAAAUGCGAUAAGUAAUGUGAAUUGCAGAAUUUAGUGAAUCAUCGAAUCUUUGAACGCACAUUGCGCCCCCCGGUAUUCCGAGGGGCAUGCCUGUUCGAGCGUCAGAACAUCCUCUCAAGCCUGGCUUGGUCUUGGGGCGCGCCGGUUCGGCGUCCCCUAAACACAGUGGCGGUACCGUUGUGCUCUCCGCGUAGUCACGUAUCUCGCGACAGAGUGGCGAUGGGACCUGCCAAAACCCACAUAUUUUUUGGAUGACCUCGGAUCAGGUAGGGAUACCCGCUGAACUUAAGCAUAUCAAUAAGCGGAGGA
RNAcentral lists this ribosomal RNA (538 nucleotides) under Podosphaera ferruginea. Its description in RNAcentral is "eukaryotic LSU rRNA". The stretch from base 180 to 333 matches the Rfam family "5.8S ribosomal RNA". Lineage: Eukaryota; Fungi; Ascomycota; Leotiomycetes; Helotiales; Erysiphaceae. The record is from RNAcentral.